CCCGGUUUUUUUAAAUCCCUUCCAACCCCCCUUUUUCCCCUCCCCCUGAACCAGACCCACUCCCCCUUCCGACAGCCCCUGCCCCCGCGCAGAAAGGAGCUCUCACUCCACACCCUCUGAAGGAAACGCCUCGGUCUUAGGACGGAUGCGUGUUGUGAAUCCUAAACGCCCCUUCCCCCUCAGACGUCGUCUGUACGCCGGGCGUUGAAAAGACCACGCCGCCACAGUAUCGCUGGUCUUGCCUAGGACGCAUGCGCCUGGGGAAACGCCCCACCUCGCUUUAACUGGACCUAGGCGGCUCACACGUUUCUGAAAACUCGCACCGUGGGGUGGGCCCCUUGUCUGGGAAUGCUUCCCUCCAGUUCCACACAUGCGCGAGCGCUCCCUUUCCGCUCCGCUCUUCCUAGCGCACUAGUGUGGUCGGGUGUCCGCCCACCUCGGCUUCGCCGCUCUCCACUCUGCGUCUCUGCCCCGCCAUAGAGUUCCGCCAGGCGAGAUAGAGCGGCCCCGUGCCGGCCACCAUCUUGUUUAAGGUCUGGGCCCGUAGUGGUCCUGUGGCUUCCAUAGGGGCCCUUCUACUCUUGAAUCCUCACUGGAAAGAUUUAUAUUUUUGUGUGUUUUCCCCAGCUGUGCUCGGCAGUUGCCAAGAUAAUUGUGUGCAAGCUCCUUAGGAGACAAUUCUGUAUAAAGAGUGGUUUGUUAAAUUACCCCGACAUUCUCCAAACCGUGGGUGACCGUGGAGCCACAAGCAAGCUGUCUCUCCCCUGUUCCUGGCCUUAGGGAAGAAGCCCCUGCUGCGCCUGAGACUUCAUAGUCCUCUGCCUGCAGGUCCUAAGUCUCCAGCACCUCCUUCGUGACCACCUUGCAGGAAGCGAGGACCAAGAAAGACUCCUGUGGCAGGUCCACUGCCGAACAAGAGCCGGAGUCCGCGUUUGUGCAGUGCGUCUCGCUGGCAGAGCCUGCGCCUUCCCUUCCUCUUCUGAGUGUCUCGCCCUUUCCUUGGUUAACAGCAGCACAGCUUUCACCAAAAAAAUUAAUAAGCCCCACAACUUCUUGGCGUUGUCCAGUUCCUGUUCUCAAAGAUGUUCCCAUGACCCAGGAAUUCUACCCCUAGGUAUUCACAGAUACCAAUAAAAACAGGUACCCAACCAGCCCUGCGUGUGUUUGCUCACAGGAGCGUUAUUCCCAGUAGCCCAAGGUGUAAACAACCCAAAUGUCCUUCAACAGAUGAGUCAAUGAACAAAAUGUGGCAUAGACAUAACAAUGAAAUAUUAUUCAGUCCAAAAAAGGAGUGAACCAUGAGUGCACACUCCAGCUGUGUGAGCCUCAAAAACGUGGAAGAAGCCAGACCCAAAGGAUCACAUAUUCUGAUUCCACUGACUCACAAAAAUGCCCAGAACAGGUAAAUCCAUAGAAACAAAACCAACAAACCAGUGGGUGAUUACCAGGUUCUGAGGAAGAGGGAAGACACGAUAGGAAGUAACUUCUGGAUGGAUAUGAGAGGUUUUCUUUUUGUUGCUGUUGUUGUUCUAAGCAUUUAUUUAUUUGAAGGAGUUACAGAGAAAGGGAGAGACAGAGAGCAGGUCUUUCAUCUGCCGGCUCACUCCCCAAAUGGCUACAACAGCCAGGCUGGGCCAGACUGAAGCCAGGAGCCAGGAGCUUCUUGUGUCUCUCAUGAGGGUACCGGGGUCUAAACACUUGGGCCAUCCUCCAUUGCUUUCCCAAGCACAUUAGCAGAAAGCUAGAUUGGAAGUGGAGCAGCUGGGAUUUGAACCUGCUCCCACAUGGGAUGCCAGCACUGCAAGCAGACUUAACCCACUGCACCACAGUGCCAGCCCAGGUAUGAGGUUUUGUAUUAGACUCAAGUCAAAACGUUUUGGAACUAGAUGGAGGUUGUG
This 1898-nucleotide long non-coding RNA is filed under the name Oryctolagus cuniculus (rabbit). RNAcentral's name for it is "lncRNA (ENSOCUG00000031719.1)". Lineage: Eukaryota; Metazoa; Chordata; Mammalia; Lagomorpha; Leporidae. The record is from RNAcentral.